GACGAACGCUGGCGGCGUGCCUAAUACAUGCAAGUUGAGCGCUGAAGGUUGGUACUUGUACCAACUGGAUGAGCAGCGAACGGGUGAGUAACGCGUGGGGAAUCUGCCUUUGAGCGGGGGACAACAUUUGGAAACGAAUGCUAAUACCGCAUAAAAACUUUAAACACAAGUUUUAAGUUUGAAAGAUGCAAUUGCAUCACUCAAAGAUGAUCCCGCGUUGUAUUAGCUAGUUGGUGAGGUAAAGGCUCACCAAGGCGAUGAUACAUAGCCGACCUGAGAGGGUGAUCGGCCACAUUGGGACUGAGACACGGCCCAAACUCCUACGGGAGGCAGCAGUAGGGAAUCUUCGGCAAUGGACGAAAGUCUGACCGAGCAACGCCGCGUGAGUGAAGAAGGUUUUCGGAUCGUAAAACUCUGUUGGUAGAGAAGAACGUUGGUGAGAGUGGAAAGCUCAUCAAGUGACGGUAACUACGCAGAAAGGGACGGCUAACUACGUG
Molecule: ribosomal RNA, 497 nt
Filed under: uncultured bacterium
Lineage: Bacteria
Description: partial 16S ribosomal RNA
Rfam family: Bacterial small subunit ribosomal RNA
Source: RNAcentral